CACCAAAACCUUGGUUCAUAACUGGGUGCACAUUGGUCAUCCAAAACCACAAGGCAGUCUUAAAUGACACAACGGGGUCCUUGGCCACCGUUUCCGGAGCUCUUAAUCCGUCAAACCCGAUGGCUUUUCCGGCAGCUCCGUAGUUUCCAUUUCCGGUGAGUUGGAUCGGUCCACGGCCGUAGUAGAACUUUCCGGGAACACAUGGGUACUGUUUGUUUUGUUCAUCACAGUACCGGUUGGACUUGUUAAUCUCUUCUAUGUAGCACAAAUCUGAAAAAGCCAGACAUUUUUUUUUCUAAUUAAUUCUCUCCGGGCUUAAUCAAGAUAAUUGGCUAGUGGCAAAUCAUAUCAAUUAAAAGUUGGAGUAUUCAAUUAGUUUUAUUGAAAACUUUUAUGUGUUCAACAAACUGAGAACAUUAUUUAAUACAUAUAAAGCAUGUAAUUAAAAAGAUUAUGUUCAUUCCAACCUUAUAUAUAUUUCUAGUAGUGAACAAAUAUGGGCCCUUCGAUUUGAAAUUCAACUUCAACCUUUUGCUUUUUUUUUCUGGGGCGGCGGGGGGGCGGGGGGGAUAUAGUUUUAAAAAAUUUCAAAAACGGUUUUGAAAAUAAUAAAACAAAGAAAAGUCGUUUUCUUCUCUAUGCAUGGAUUGCUCAUAAAUACUUUGCAUGCAAAAAGAAAUAAAAUGGAGAGAACUUACGUCCAGUUUCAUGAGUGACGUGUGCAAAAAAUGCAGCAAUCUCACGCUUCGAAACUUCAGGAGAGCCGCUACCAAAUUGAGGAUAAGCCUUGGCAGCAUUCAGAAACGCAUCUCUCGUGUAGAAGCUCUUGCCGGCACAACUCGCGGCUGCCUGAUUCUUUAUGCCGUCGAAGAACUGGGGAGUCACAAUGCUAGCAACAUUUUGACACAUUACUUUGGUGGGAAAAGCUAGGGCAAGAAUGCCCACAAGAGCAAAGGUUACAAUAUUUUUUUUCAUGUUAAGUGGAGCCAUUUUGUUUAGGAGUAGAGAAAUGUGAGUGAUAUGCAAAUGUUGGUGAUGGGAGUACGGUAUUUAUAGAGUGCAAAAUGGACGUUAUGUCUGCCACGUGCUGGUGAAUUGUGAUAAAUUUGAACAUAGAGUUUAUCUCUUGUUAGGUUUUUCUAGACUUCGCAUUUGUUGUGGCUUGAAAUCUAGCUGGCUUGACUUGUCAAAAGAACUAGAAAUAAAAUAAAAGAAAAUAAAUCAAAUCUUUCGAGUGGGUUGUUGAUUGACCGCCAUCUAUAUUAAACUUUUUCAAAUUAAAUUUGAAUAAUAAUUGUACAAAAUAUAAUUUUAAAUAACUAAUUUUCAAUAAAUUUUGAGGAAAUUUGUUUUUUAAUGUAACUGAAUUAAUUGUAGAUUGGAAAAUCUUAAACUCAUACUUGUUUCGAGCUUUCAGAUAUUGAAACUCAGACAUGUUUAUUUUUAAUUAUCUACCUACUUUGUUUAUAUAUAUACACAUGCACUAGACUUUACACAAAUUUUAACAAAAAAAUAUGUGGUUUGUACUCAUUUGAGUGAUUUAAAUUUUUUUAGGUUUGUUAAUUAAUAACUAAUAACAUGGUAUCAUAUUUUCUCAGCUAAAUACUUAUUUGGUCUGUGUAUUUUUCAGUUAAGUAUCCAUUUAAUCUCUUUAUUUUAGAAAAUAUUUCAAGACAUCUUUACUGGUAAAUAUAUUACAUUCCUACCCUGAUCUUUUCUUUGAUUUUAGAAUAAUACCCUUACAAUAAUAUUGUUGGAGAUUCAAUGAAAAGAAAAAAAAAAUGAAUUUAUCAAAUUAGUCUUAAAAGUAAGAUAAAAAUUACUCUAUCUAUUUUUUGUUAUCUUAAUUUUAGGAUUAAUUUGNNNNNNNNNNNNNNNNNNNNNNNNNNNNNNNNNNNNNNNNNNNNNNNNNNNNNNNNNNNNNNNNNNNNNNNNNNNNNNNNNNNNNNNNNNNNNNNNNNNNUUAGCUUAAACAUUGCUUUAAAUUAGUUGGUUUUAAUUUAUCAUAAAUGGUUACUAGUUGUUGUAGAAUGAUAUUUAUUUCUAAUUUUCUAAUAUAUUGGUUAAUAUGCUAUUUAUUUUUUUAGAUAAAAAAUUAAUGCCAAAAAUAUUAUUGUUAGUAUUGUUGUAAAAGGUAAGAAAAAAAUAAGAGGAAGAUCGUAACAUAUUUAAAAUAGGAUGUCUUUACAUUUUUUUUUAAAAUAUGUGGACAAAAAAGAUAUUUAAAUUAAAAUAUAGGAUAUAUACCCUAAUUUCUUUAUAACUUAAUUUCCUUUCUUUCCUUAAUUCUUUUUCCUUUUUUUAGUGAUAUCAGUUAUCACAAUGUAAAAAUUAAUAAUCAGUCCAAACAUCUGAGUUUUUUUUAAUAUUUUCCGUUUAUAAAUACUGAAAUAUUUAUGUAUAUCUUCGAAACUGAAAAGUCAAGCCUUCCACUAACUCCCGUUCUCAAUUAGCGGCGUAAAUUUGGGUCCAUGAAAUGAAAGCAAUUCUUCUUGUACCCUUUUCUCCACACUAGUUCUUCUCGUUCUCUUCUCGGCAUUGAUAUUCUGGUGUGUCACUAAUCAAUUUAAUAUCUCAAAAUAUUUUGGUGACGUCCUAAUGUAUACAAACUUUCAUUCUCAAGUACAAGGGUUUCAUCUGUUUUAAUAAAAUCAAUAUUUAAUAUAUUAUAAAAUCAUGUAAUUUAAUAAUAUGUUUGUACUAAUUUUAUUAAAUCAUAUGACUCAAUAACGUGGCAUAUGAAAUAAACAAUAAGCUGUCCACAUGAAAAAAAAAAGUUUAUAUAUAUACUUAUAAAAUUAAUUAGAAAAUAUCCUUAUUAAAAAUCUAACCGAUCAAAGGAGCUUCUAAAACUUUCACGUAGGAUAAGUUGUCUUUUUCCAUACAAAUACUUAAAAACUUUUUUCUGAUACAAACCCCAACAUAUGAUUAUGGCCAUAGAAAAUUUGAAAAUUUUGUCCCAAAAAAAAACUUGAAAGAAAAGCUUAAAACUAAUAACGAAAAAUAGGAUAAAUUAAUCAAACACAUGAUGACCAAUUUUGCAUUAAUCUAUUUGUGAUAGCCAAUUUUAAUCAAAAUAAAUAUAUCUGCAAUCGGAAAAAUAACUUUUUUUUUUUUACUUCGAUAUUAGAAACAGGCAGCCACUGAUUGGGACCAUCAAGUAUACAAGUUUACAACGGUACGAAACUUGUUUCGAUUGCAUUCGGCUGCCCGAAAAACGGGAAAAAAAGAAAACAGAUUUUCUUUGUAAUGUCGGUAGCAUGUUCUUUUGACAAGUUUAAUAAAAGAUUCAAAGAAAAUCUAUGACUUUUUACUCAAAACUUUCCACCUGGGGAGAUGAAAACUGCACAGUUAAAGCAUCAAACACAUUGUUCAUGAAUCAUGAUCAAAGGAAAAAAAAUUUCUGAGCUGGAUUGAAAACAUCAAAAUCAGUAUUCAUAAAUCAUGAUAAGAAGAUAAAAGUUCUCUUUGUCGGAUAAGAAACAUUAGCUUUUCAGAAUUUUUUUUUUUUUUAAAAUGAACUUAGAAGGAUUCCAAGUGUCCCUUUUACUAAUUUAUAAAUAGGGUAAUUUGCCCUUAUUUGUAUGAAAAGCCAACCACAUCCUCCUGACAAAAAAAAAAAAAAGGGGCAAAAAGCCAACCUCAUCCGUCGAAUCAGCCAGUAAUUUUUUACACGUGUACAAUUUUUGGGAUUUCUUAACACAUGCUGUUUGGAAAGCAUCUCGUAUCGCCCAAAAUAAAAAGUGCAUAAUUUUCUUUUUUUCAAAGGUUCUUUUAUAAAUGAUAUCGGUCAAUGGAAUUAUUGUUUUGCUCUAAUUUUUUAUUAGGCUCUUCUCUUGGGAUUUUUGUCCUUCAUUCUAAGCCUUCUGACAAAUCACAAUUGGGGCUACUUUGAAUGAUAAAGCUUGCUGGACUUAUGACUAGGCUCCUUUUGGUAUGUCAUUUCAUUUGAAUAUGUAAUUUCUUUAAUUACGUUUGAAAAGGAAAAAUAUGACAAGAAAGAGGAGUACACUAUAAUAGUUGUCUGAGUCUGAUAAUGGACUGUACAGUGCUUACCUUGAUAGAACUCAGUGCACAAAGUAGUUGAGCAUACAUAACAAAAUCCCCAAACUUUACUCCGUUGCCAAACAUGUCUAAGUUAAAUUUACUCUAUUAUAAAAAAGUCUUGGGCGUUGGGUGUUUUAGGAGCACCACAUCAUUCACAUUCACAUUAUAAUAUUUGAGCAAAAGAAAAUUGCCUAAAAUAUGUAUGAUUAUCUGCAGGCUUUAAGUUUUAUCCAAUUAAAGAAUUGAAUGUUCAUCAUUUAUCAAAUUAAUAACUAGUUUUUAAAGAAAUUAUGGCUCUAAAGUAUUUCCAGUUUUCUUUAAUUUCAUAGACGAGUCAAUUAACAACAAAAAUAAUCCAUUAAUUUAUGGCAGACGAGAACAAUAUUUCAAUUGCAAAUCAACCUGAAAGUUGUUUACAAACAUAUCAUAAUCUAUAGGAACAAAUCAGUUAUAUAUAUAUAUAUAUAUAUCUUAUGGCAAAAAAAAAACAUACAAAUUAACUUUAUUCUUGAUUUUUUUCUACACGACAAUAGUUGUUUACAAUUGUAUGAUUCUGGCUGAUGGAGGUAUAAACCACAAAUCAUGUGAUUAGUAAUUAGUUCUUUCAACUAUUGUUCAAGCAAUAAAGAGUCCCAUUUCAUGGCCAAGAUUGCACGUCAACCAGAAAAAGACAUGAUCUUAAAUGAUAUAACAAAAUAAAUAUGUAGUAAUUUCACUUACAAACUAAGGGUAUUUUUUACUUUCCUCCAUUGAUUAUUCAAAAAAACUUCCGCUGACCUGAAAACAUUUUUUACCAUAACAGUUGUGUGGCUGUUUAGUGGACCUUGAGGCGUUCCAUAGGACAUCCACUGAUUCCAAAUAAAAAACGCACCCUUUGUUGAGUCCGGCCCAAUACAUCUUUUGUCAUCUACAAUAAAUUAUUUUACAAUUUAUGUUUAUGAUUUUUGGACUUAAUAACAGCGGUUCAUUGACAAUCUACUUUAACAGUAAGGGAACCUAUUUUUAGGUUGCAAAACUUGCAGCAAUAAAUUAGCUUCCCCAAAAGAGAAAUAAAGAUUUCACAUUCUAAUUAAAUAUCAAGGAAAUUAAUUAAUUGUGCUCCAUUAUUCCAACUUCCGAGAUCAGUACAUCAAAAUUGAACAUUAAUAAUUAAAUUGUUCAAAACUUGUUUCGAUAAGCUAGCUAGUUCCCAAAUGGAAGUAUAAGAUUUCACUUCCUUAGAUAGACACGAUAAUCUUUCACUAUAAAUUUAAAUUAAACCUUAUUAAAGGUCUUGAAUUCAUUGUACGCACAUAGUUUGAACCUCAUAUAGACCACCAACGUAACCAUGAAGAAAACUAUCUUCUAUAAAAGAUUUUCCCACCAAAGCUGAACAAGUAUCAGAUUUAGGGUUAGGAUUAGGAUUUGUCAACAUUUAGAAAUUUGGAUUUAGAUUCAGGAUUUGGCAACAUUCGAAUUUCGGGUUAGGUUUUGGUAGUUUUCCUGUUGUAUUUUAAUGGCUAUUAACAAGAAAUUAAUCAACUCACACAACUUUGAUCAAUUAAAGACAGAAUGGAAUCAAGAACAGAAAAUGAUUCAGUCAAACAAGAACCUAGAAAACUAUUCACAGUGAACAAGCUUCCAAGUUUCAAAGGAAAAAUGAACAAGAUCUCAUUACUCAAAUGCUUUACAAUCAGAUCAAUUGUUUUGAGGACACUUCAAGGAUUCCAAAGAAUCUAGAAUCACCUUUUUUAGCUAAGAAACAAAAGAGAAAUCACACACAAAGCAAUGCACAGCAGGCCCUUUCAUAUUUUGGAAAUUUUCUAGAAACACCUUAACAACCUUUAACCUUUUUGCCACAUUAGCGCAGAAUUUACAAAUUGACUCCUCAUUUGAAGUCGAUUUGCACAUUACCCAACAACUUUCAUUCGAUUACAUUUUAGUCCAAAAACAUAACUCAUGUCCUCACACUCUCCACCUUGCAGAUCUGAUUCAGCAUUACUCUUGACCAUAAGUGCUUUAAAAAAAAAACCUUCAACCACGCAACUUAACAACUAGAACCAUUUCCAAUACCAAUCAAGUCUACACAAAUCUUAAAUUUGGCUGUUGGAAUUACUUCUGUUAACAUAUCAGUAGGGUUGAUAUCUGUAUAUAUUUUUGUUACUACAACAAACCCUUUUGCGACCUCAUCUCUGAUAAAGUGCAACUUCAUAUCAAUGUGUUUGGUUCUCCCACGAUAAAUUUCAUUUUUUAUAAGCUGAAUCGCACUCUAAUUAUCACAAAAGAUCUAAAUUGUCUUUUGUUUCAACCAAAAUUCAUUCAGUAGCCUUCUCGGCCACAAUGAUUCUUUUACUGCCUCUAUUGCAGCAAAAAUUCAGCCUCAGUAGAUAACAAAGCUACUAUGUGUUGUAAAGUAAGUUUCCAACUUAUGAGACAAUUUUCUAGCAUGAACAGGUAUCCAGAGAUAGAAUUUCUCCUAUCUAAGUCACCUGCAAAAUUAGAGUCCACAUAGCCUCUAACUUCAUAGACUUCUUGCUUGGAUUUGCCAUACACCAGACCAUGAUCUAAAGUACGUUUCAAGUACCUCAUAACCCAUUUCAUAGCAUCCUAAUAAAGCUUAUCAGGAUUACUCAUAAACCUGCUUACUACACUUACUGCAUAAGCUAUGUCUGCUCUGGUGCAAGCCAUUGCAUACAUUAAGCUUCCUACAGCCAGUAAAUAUAGAAUUUCUUAGCAUAUGAUAUUGGAGACAUAUCAUUAGAGAGUUUAAAUUGAGCUCCCAAAAGUGUCAUUACAGGUUUUGAAUCCAUCAUAAUAUACUUUUCUAACUCCUUACUGACAUAUCUUGAUUGGCUUAGAAACAAAGUACCAACAACUCUAUCUCUAAGAAUAUCCAUAACAAGGAUCAUCUUAGCACUGCCAAGAUCUUUCAUUUCAAAUUCCCCCUUUAAUAAAUUCUUAAGUUUCUCAAUAUCACUAGAAUUUUUACCAACAAUGAGUAUAUCAUCAACAUACAACAAAAGAUACAUAGCUCCACCUGAGCUUAUGUUCCUAUGAUAGACAUGUUGUACAAAUUUUAUUGAACUCGCAAGUGCACGAAUCUAUUUUAGAAUAGAUCAAUGGUGACAAGUGUCGAUCCCACGAGGAGGUGGAUUUUAAUUGUGUGUAGAAUUAAUUUUUCUAAAUGGGUGGUUGGAAUUAUGGUAAAGAUGAUUUGGAAUAUCUUAAAAUUUAAAUUGAAAUGGCAGAAUUAAAUUAAAAUGGAAACUAUAAUAAUUGAAGCGCUUGGGUAUCUAGAUCCGCAUCAACAUGCACCAUGGGCUAAAUAUUUCUUAUUAAUGCCAAUUAAAUCAUGAGGGGGGAAUCCACACCUCAUGAACCACACUCUAAUCAAUAUGGUGCUAAGAGCUUAUCGUACCAAAUAAUAAUAACUUUGUACUAGGGAGCCGGUAAAAUCAGUGCGGUAUCUAGACAAGAUUAUUAUUAUUUGUCGACGAAAAGUCAAAACAUCCACAAAAAUUAGAGGUGAAGAGAAAAUAAAUUUACCAAAUAAAGCCCAUGACAUAUGUUGAGACUUCACCUUCAACCCAAGCUUGAAAGAAAAUUAACUACUCAUAAUUGAACUAGGAGCAAAAUAAGAAUUUAUUAAAAUACGUAGAAAAUACAAGAUGGAGAAGGAAUUAUAGAAAAUGGAACUUAAAAUUGAAUUCAGAGAUAUCAAAAUAGGGGGGAGAGGUCCUAUUUUUAUAGAUACAUUGAGUAAACAAUGGCUAUCGAAUUAAAAACAGUUUGAACGCUCAGGAUUGCGCCACGUCAUCAGUCAACAGUACGCAGUUUGACCACGCGGUUUGAACAGUGAUACGGUUUGACCACACGGUUUGAACAGUCAACUGGUUUGAAUAGUGACACGGUUUGGUUGAAAAUAAUCCUGUGUAUAUGCAUGUACUGUACGCGCGAUUUUUAGUCCACUGAUAUGCUGCCGCGUCACCAAUCAACAGUGCAUAAGAAUUUUCUCCAAUGGAAUCGUGUCACCUCGUCAGUCAAUGCCACAUCAUCGGUCAAUGCCACGUCAUUGAUCCGUCUAUGUGAACAGUGUCGUGAACAGUAACGUAAACAAUACCGUACAUGUGAAUAAUAUCGUACAUGUGAACAAUGAUAUUUUUCCUUUUAUGCUCCUCCUAAGGUUUUCGACUGUCCUGAGUUCAAAAGUGAUGUCCGUUUUGCCGUCUGAUCUCUAGUUCAUUGUGAAAUGACCAUGAUGUCCCUAAAAUACAUAAAAUACUUAAUUAAAAUAAAACAUAUAUAAUUGAAUCACAAGAAACUUAAAAUACAUAAAAGUAAGGGUGUUAAUAAGACUUGAAAUGUAAAAUGACGAUUUUCUCCUUUAUAAAUAUAUAUUUUCUAACACUCAACAAGAUACAAUUAUCAUAUGUGCUCUUGUAAUAGCCAUUAGAGAUCAUAAACUGGUCAAAUCUCUUACAUUGCCUAGGAGACCCUUUCAAGCCAUAUAGAGACUUAUGCAGAAGACAUACAUAAUCCUUAUGUCCCUUUACUUAAAAACCUUCAGGCUGUGACAUUAAUAUCUUUUCUUCAAGAUUAUCAUGUAAGAAGGCAGUCUUUAUAUCCAUUUGUUCAAGCUCUACAUGAAGCAAAGUCACCAUAACAAGUAAGGUUCUAAUUGAUUUGUGUUUUACAGCAUGUGAGAAGAUUUCAUUAAAAUAUACCCCUCAUUUUGAAACCCCUUGCCACAAGUCUUGCCAUAUAUCUUGAGUCUUUAACACAUGGAAUACCCUCAUUCUUCUUGAAUAUCCAUUUGCAGCUGACAAUUUUCCUAUUUCUUGGAUUAGAAACCAAUGUCCAUGUCUGAUUCCUUACCAGAGAAUCCAUCUCUUCCCUUAUUGCUUUAAUCUAGUUAUUGUUGUACUUAGUGCUUUUGCGUAGCUGCUAGGCUUUUCAAUUGAAACAUCCUCUACACUCGUCAAUGCAUAUGCAACUAUGUCUGUAUAUGCAUACCUUUUUGGGGGUAUGAUAUGUCUUCUUUAUAUGUCCAUAUCUAAUUGAUAUUAUUGCAGAUCAGUAACUUGUGGUGCUGCAUCUUCAAUUACUACUGUAUCUUGAGAAUAAUCUUCAACAGCUUCUGGUUGUACUUCAUCUUUAUGAGCACUAGACAACUCUACCUCAAUAUUAACACCUUGAUUAAUGACUCCAGUAGUCAGUGUCUUAUUUACAUUAAUAUCAGUAUCAGAAGUUACUUGAUCAGACUUAUUGAUUACAACAACUUCAUUAAACAGAAUAAAUAAUUAAACACUUAUUAGCUUUUCCACACCAAACUCUGUAGCCUUUAACCCCAUCUAUAUAACGAACAAAUGCUCAUUUGACAGCUUGUGCAUCAAGCUUCCCUUGUCUAAUAUGAACAUACGUAGGAUGCCCAAAUACCCUGAGAUAUUUAUAGCUUGCAAGUUUUCCAGACUAGACUUCUUAUGGAGUUUUGAACCCAAUGGCUGAUGAUGGACUUCUAUUAAUGAGAUAACAGGCUGUUGAGAUAGCUUCAACCCAAAAACUCCUUGGUAAUUAAUAAUUGAUCAAUAAGCAUCUUGUCUUAUAAACAAGGGUUCUGUUCAUCUUUUCAACUAAGCCAUUUUGCUGAGGGGUGAGCCUUACCGUCUUAUGCCUCUUAAUCCCUCAUUCUUGAUAAAAAAAAAACUUUAAACUCUUUAUUACAGAAUUCAAGUUCAUUGUCUGUCCUAAGGCAUUUCACUUUGAAACCAUAUUGAGCCUCCACCAAAGCCUUCAAGACUUUAAACUUUUCAAAGACUUGAUCUUUGGUUUUCAAAUAUAUAUACCCAAACCUUUCUGGAGUAAUCAUUUAUCACAGAUAUAAAGUACUUUCCACCACUUAGAGAAGAGACCUGACCAGGCGCUCAAAGAUCAGCAUGCACAUAGUCUAAAGGUUGUUUAGACACAUGCAUCCCUUUAGUAAAUUUGACAUGUGUGCUUUGCUAAAAAUACAGUUUUCACAUAAGUCUAACUCAAUUAUUUUGUCACCACAGAGCAACCCUUGAAUACUUAAUUUUUGCAUUCCCCUAAUACUCAUAUGGUCAGGUCUAAGAUGUCAUAACAUAGUUCUAUCAAGCUCAGAAAUAGUUGUCAUUAUAGUUGACACAAGCACUGAUGAUCCUUCUAAUAUAUAAAGACCAUUUUUCUUAAUCCCUUUCAUUACCAUCUCAGUCCUUUUCAUAAUCUUUAAACCACUAUUUUCAAAUUUGAAGAAGUAUCAUGUACUAUCCAGCAUGCCUAAAGAGAUUAAGUUCCUCUUUAGCCUAGGUGUAUGUCUCACAUCACAUAGAGUUAUAACAAUCCCAUCAAACAUCUCUAUUUUGAUAAACCCUAUACCAAAAAUCUUACACACAUUGUUGUUUCCCAUCAAAACUCUACCACUAUCCACAUAUUCAUACUCAUAAAAAAAACUUCUAUCAGGACACAAAUGAAAGGAACAAUCUAAAUCAAGGACCUAAUAACCUCUAAUGUUGUUGUUUAAGGCUACCAACAAGUCAGCACUAUGGUAUCCAUCAUCAGAUAAAUCAUCUGAGGCCACUGCUGCAUCUCAUAUUCUCUCUUUAUCAUAUUUCUUUUUCUCAGAACAAUCUCUAAUGUAAUGGCCUUGUUUCUUACAGUAAAAACACUUCCUCUUCUUCAUUUUUUUUCUUUUGCAGAUCUAUCAAAAUUGUACGUGAAAAGUUCUCAUUUAUCCUUUAAUAAUGCAUAUUUUUUGUCACUGUUUAAAAGUUGGAACAAAAUGAGUAAUAAAUUUCAUUGGAACUCAAGUUGUAAAAAUAAAUUAUAAGAUAGAUCGAGCAUCAUUCUCCCUAAUUUUAAUUAAUAGAUCAAACUUUUUCUUCUGGAUAAUUAUUUCGAGGAAUAGUAUCCUUAGCUCGUUUACGUAGGCAACAAGUUAGCAUAACCUACAUAUGAAACAAUAUCUUCUAAAGACUUGAAAAUUCUCGUAAGCAAGAAGUUAGCAUAACCUACAUAUAAAACAAUAUCUUUUAAAGACUUGAAAAGUCUAGUCAAUUUUCUAAACUUUCAUUCUUGAACGAUGUCUAUUUUCUUAUAGGUAAACUCAAGGGACAUUUUCUUUAAAAAAAGUUGAUAAAACAAAUAUGAAAUUGAAUUAAAUUCUCAUAAUUAGAACCGAAGCAGAAAAAAAAUGACGUUAUUUUAUAUUUAAGUAAUGCUACAUAGCAUGAUCUAAGAGAAUAUAAGAAAUUAAAUAAAAAAUAUUAAAUUUUGUAAAAAAAUUAAAAAAUUUUAUAAAUAUUUAAAGGACCAAACUAAAUCGAAAAUCUUAGUUCUAAUUCUAUUCCUAUUGAUUUUUCAAGAAUUCAGUACUGAACCAAACUAAAGUUUUGGAUUCGGCCCAAUACCUAAUCAAAUCGUCUCAUUGCCCACCCUUAAGUAAAUUAUUGUUUAUAUAUAGCUUGUUGCAAAAUAAUAAUCAUAUAGGAUUCAAUUACUUUGAAACAAUUGCAACAUGUGUCAAAUUUUUUCAUUAUGAUACUUCAGCUGUAUACAUGAAAAAGUAGUUUCAACGGUAGGAUGUUGUUAUUUGGUUAUUAACAUUAUACCCUCUAAAACAUAUUUCAGAACUUAAAAACAAUCCGGCCCAAAUUCCAAAUCUCUCUCUUCUUCUCAAAAUCAUCUUCAUCUCAUCUCACCUUCAUUUCAUCUUGUUCCCUAAUUGUCGCCCAAAUUCUCGUCUUGUUCUUGUUCAUUUACAACUGAAUUUGAUUUAGCAUUAUUAUUUGUGGAACUUUCAAAUUAAAUUGACCAAAAGUGACUGUUCCUUUGGGGGCGGACCCAGGCCUCGAAAAUUUUUGCUUAAACCCCUUAAUUUUUUAUAAUUUUUCAUAAAACAAUAUUUAUUUUACUUUUAAAUAUGUCCCCAAUUCAACCUUUUUUUUUUCUUCAAUUAGAGUUAGAGAUUAUAUAUUUAUUGAAUAAAUUGAAAUCAUCAGAAGUUUAAAGACUUAGCACUGCUUUACCUUAUUAUAAAAAAUAUUAUAAUUUGGUCUAAUUGAAAAAAAAAAUGUCAAUAGAUUAUAAUAUUAUCACUAUGAGUAAUUUUAAUCUUAUAAUAAGAGAAUCUUUUACUUUAGGGAAAAAGAUACCUACAUCCUCAAGGUUUAGAGAAAUGGUUAUGUAGAUCUAAAAUUUUUAAUAAAAGAUACCAAGACCCACUUUUGAUUAUAAUACCAUUUAGCACUAUUAACUCAAAAUUUUUUUGUAAGGUUGUCCUACUAUCUUAGUAUGUUAAAUUUGUUGGAAAAAAUCCAAUACUAUUGGGUUAUGUGACAGAAUAAUAAGUCUCUAAAUGGUAUGAUUGAGGUGGUGCGAUGAUCCGACACAAAUAUUUCUUGUCAAACAAAGGGUUCAAAGCCAUAAAAUUAGUAGAGUAAAUGCAAUAAAAUAAUGUUAUUCAUAAAGCUGAAGUUUUAUGCUCCUCCAAAAUUGAUUUAGCUUACUGGCAACCCCGAUAAAAGCUGCCCGGUGCCGGCUAUCAGCCAUCUUUAUAAAUGUGUUGAUUUAUUUAAUAAAUUGAAAAUACAUAAGAAAGUAAGGAGGCCAAAUAAAAUUUAGUAUUGCAAAAGAUUGAAAAAAAGGCGCCACUGUGAUACUACGGUACGAAAGUUGUCGCGCAGUUUCCUUUGUCCUAAUCUCUAACACGAUUCUUCUCAUAAUUCCAUGGAAACAUUGUCUUGUUCUGAACCAAUUAUUGUUGUCAAAUACUUUGUUACAUUCUUUUUAUGAUACACAUAUUAUCAAAAUAUUUGUUACAUUUAUUAAGUUAUUAAUUCAUCAUAUUUUUUAAGUCCUAUGUUACAAAUAUUAUGUUAUGAAAAAGCUGGGUUACUUAAAGUUGGUGUCCAAUCCGACACUCAAUCAAUCACUAAAGCUAGUAUUGCUCUUUGUAUAAAGUUAGUUUCUUUUUUCACUGACAAACAUCUAUCAUAUUGCUUUUCCUAAAAAAGCCAAAGCUAAAUCAAGGUGGAGUUUCUCCAAGAAGCAUAAUUAAUCACAAACCAUAUAAGCAAUAAAAUAUGGUCGGCAACACCCUUUUAUUUCUUCAAUUUAUUUUGUUUUAGGUACAUGAAACCACCCUAUUUUAUAAAAUUACACCACAUUAGGAACACACUUUUAUUUCUUCAAUUUAUUUUGUUUUCGAUACAUGAAACCACCCUAUAUUAUAAAAUUACGCCACAUUAUUUCCACAAGCCAGUGAAGUAUCGGCGAAAACAUCUUAACAAUAGAGAUUUGGGCCAGGAGCAACACCAAAUUUGUUGCAAUAAUCCUUAUAAUAUCCGUUGCGAGCUUGAACCUGAGCAGGUUGCUUGCCACCGCAUUCAAUGGCUCCAUUGAUUCUCUGAAUUGUUGCACCAAAACCUUGGUUCAUAACUGGGUGCACAUAGGUCAUCCAAAACCACAAGGCAGUCUUAAAUGACACAACGGGGUCCCUGGCCACCGUUUCCGGAGCUCUUAAUCCGUCAAACCCGAUAGCUUUUCCGGCAGCUCCGUAGUCGCCAUUUCCGGUGAGUUGGAUCGGUCCACGGCCGUAGUAGAACUUUCCGGGAACACAUGGGUACUGUUGGUUUUGUUCAUCACAGUACCUGUUGUACUUGUUAAUCUCUUCAACGUAGCACAAAUCUGAAAAAGCAAGACAUUUUUUUUUAAUUAAUUCUCUCUAGGCUUAAUCAAGAUAAUCGGCUAGUGGCAAAUCAUAUCAAUUAAAAGUUGGAGUAUUCAAUUAGUUUUAUUGAAAACUUUUAUGUGUUCAUCAAACUGAGAACAUUAUUUAAUAUAUAAAAAGCAUGUAAUUAAAAAGAGUUGUCUAAAUAUACAUGCUAAUUAAGAAAGGCUCUUGCCAACAAGAAAUUAAAAAGCAUAGUAUAUUAUUGUAGAGGGUGAGGGUGCAUAGAUUCUCUAUAAUCGUAUCGAUAUCCUGUUGAUGUAUCAGAAAAAAAUAAAUUUCUUUUUAAAACAAACAUGGGUUGGAAAUAAUUAAUUUCGCAAGAAUUAUAUAUAUUUCGCAAACAGCAGGAAGGUUAUGUUCGUUCCAACCUCAGAUAUAUAUUUCUAGUAGUGAACAAAUAUGGGCCCUUCGAUUUGAAAUUCGACUUCAAUCUCUCUCUUUUUUUUGUGGGAGGGGGGGGGGGGGGGGGGGGGGGGAGGGACAACAGAUAAAUUAAAUUAUAAAAAAACGGAUAUAGUUUUAAAAAAUUUCAAAAACAGUUUUGAAAAUAAUAAAACAAAGAAAAGUCGUUUUCUUCUCUAUGCAUGGAUUGCUCAUAAAUACUCAUGCAAAAAGAAAUAAAAUGGAGAGAACUUACGUCCAGUUUCAUGAGUGACGUGUGCAAAAAAUGCAGCAAUCUCACGCUUCGAAGCUGUAGGAGAGCCGCUACCAAAUUGAGGAUAGGCCUUGGCAGCAUUCAGAAAUGCAUCUCUCGUGUAGAAGCGCCAGCCGGCGCAUCUCGCGGCUGCCUGAUUCUUUAUGCUGUCGAAGAACUGGGGAGUCACAAUGUUAGCAACAUUUUGACACAUUACAUUGGUGGCAAAAGCUAGGGCAAGAAUGCCCACAAGAGCAAAGGUUACAAUAUUUUUUCUCAUAAUAAGUGGAGCCAUUUUGAGGGAAAGUUCACGGAGUAAUUUAAGAAGUAAUGAGAAAUGUGAGUGAUAUGCAAAUGUUGGUGAUGGGAGUACGGUAUUUAUAGAGUGCAAAAUGGACGUUAUUUCUGCCACGUACUGGUGAAUUGUGAUAAAUUUGAACAUAGAAUUUAUCUCUGAUAGGUUUUUCUAGACUUCGCAUUUGUUGUGGCUUGAAAUCUAGCCAGCUUGACUUGUCAGAAAAACUAGAAAUAAAAUAAAAGAAAAUAAAUUAAGUCUUUCGAGUGGGUUGUUGAUUGACCGCCAUAUAUAUUAAAAAUUCUCAAAUUAAAUUUGAAUAAAAAUUAUACAAAAUAUAAUUUUACAUAAUUAAUUUUCAGUAAAUUUUGAGGUAAAUUUAUUUAUUUUAUUGUAGUUGAAUUAAUUGUAAAUUGGAAAAUCUUAAGCUCAUACUUGUUUUGAGCUUUCGGAUAUUGACAUUCAGUCAUGUUUAUUUUUAAUUGUCUACCCACUUUGUUUAUAUAAAUACACACACUAGACUUCACAAAAAUUUUAACAAAAACUUAUGUGGUUUGUACUCAUUCGAGUGAUUCAAAAUUUUUUAGGUGUACUCUUGUUAAUAACUAAUAAUGUUAAUUCUAUUGGCUCAAACUUCUGAUAAACUUCUUUUUUUCGGUUAAUCAAAACACGGUAUCAUAUUUUCUUAGCUAAAUGCAUAUUUGGUGCAUGCAUUUUUUAGCUAAGUAUUCGUUUAGUGACUUAGUCUCUCUAUUUUAAAAAAAUACCUCAAGACAUCUUUACUAGUAAAUAUAUUACAGUCCUAUCCUGAUUUUUUUCUUUACGUUUAGAAUAAUACACUUGCAAUAAUAUUAUUGGAGAUUUAAUGAAAAGCAACAAAUGUAAAUUUAUCAAAUUAGUCUUAAAAGUAAAAGUAAAAUAAAAAUUACUCUAAAUAUUUUUUAUUAUCUUAAUCUUAGGAUUAAUUUGGUAAUUGAUUUUUUCAUAAAAAAAUAACUUAGCUAGGACAUUGCUUUAAGUUAGCUGGUAUUAGUUUAUCAUAAAUGGUUACUAGUUUUAAACUGAUAUUUAUUUCUUAAUUUGCUAAUAUAUUGGUUAAUUUGCUAAUUAUUUUUUAGAUAAAAAAUUAAUGCCAAGAAUAUUAUUGCAAAGUUAUUGUUGUAAAAGGUAAGAAAAAAUAAAAGCAAGAUCGUAACAUAUUUAUAAUAGGAUGUCUUUACAUAUUUUUAAAAAUAUAAGAACUAAAAGGAUAUUUAAAUUAAAAUAUAGUACAUAUACCCUAAUUUCUUUAUAACUUAAUUUCCUUUCUUUCUUUAAUUCUUUUUUUUUUUUAGUGAUAUCACAAUUCACAACCUAGAAAUUAAUAAUCAGUCCAAAUAUCUGAGGUGUUUUGAUAUUUUCCGUUUAUAAAUAGUGAAAUAUUUAUGUAUACCUUCGAAACUGAAAAGUCAACUCCUCCACUAACUUCCGUUCUCAAGCAGUGGCGUACAUUCGUGUCCAUGAAAUGAAAGCACUUCUUCUUCUACUCUUUUCUCCACUUUAGUUCUUCUUAUUCUCUUCUCCGCAUUGAUAAUUUGGGUGGGUCACCAGUCAAUUUAAUAUCUCAAAAAUUUUUGGUGUUUUCGUAAUGUAUAUACACUUUCAUUCAUUAUAUUUUUACCAAUACACACACAAUAUAUAUAUAUAUAUAUAUAUAUAUAUAUAUAUAUAUAUAUUCAGGUGCAGGGAUCUUUAUUUUUUUUUAAUACGGAUAUACUAUUAAGUCGUGUGAUUUAAUAAAGUCAAUAUUCAAUAUAUCAUAAAGUCAUGUUUUUAUUAUAAUGUCUGCACUAAUUCCAUUAAGUUAUAUUAGUUAAUAAUAUGAAAUAAAGAAUAAGCUAUCCACAUGAAAAAAAAAAGUUUAUGUAUAUAUUUAUAAAAUUAAAUAGAAAAUAUUCUUGUUAAAAAUCUAACCGAUGAAAGUAGCUUCUAAGAGUUUCUCGUAGUAUAUGUUGUCUAUUUUCCAUACAAAUUCUUGAAACUUUUUGCUGAAACAAAUCCCAACAUAUGAUUAUGGCAAUAGAAAAUUUGAAAGUUAUGCCCAAAACAAAAAAAAAAAAAAAAAUUGAAAGAAAAGUUUAAAGCUAAUAACGAAAAAUAUGAGAAAUUAAUCAAACAAAUGAUGGCCAAUUUGCAUUAAUCUAUUCGUGAUAGCCAAUUUUAGUCAAAAUAAAUAUAUUUUCAAUCGGAAAAAUAACAUUUUUUUAACUUAGAUAUUAUCGACGGGCAGCCACUGAUGGGGACUGUCAUAUAAACAAGUUAAGUUUACAACGGCACGAUACUUGUUUCGACUGCAUUCGGCUGCCCAAAAAACGGAAAAAAAAAAACAGCUUUUCUUUGUAAUGUCGGUAGCAUGACACUAUAAUUUCUAUGAAUUACAAUUUUUUUUUAUCACAUGAGACUAUUACUCAAGAGUACAAUUUAUAUUAUAUAAAAUUAUAAUUAAUAUUUAUAAAUCAGACUAUUAUUGAAAUUAAUUUAUAUUAAUUUUAAUGAAGCACCGCUUAAAUUUUUUAUUUUCACUUAUAUUUAAGAGAUAUCCACACCAUUCAUAUUUAGUAAAGGAAAAAUAUUAUUAAAUUCUCCAUAAUUCGUUUAUAGGGGUCGAACAGCUGCACCCAGAUAAGUGAGUGCAGCUGUUCUAACCAACUUUGGCCGAGUGGCCCUAUGAAUUACAACAUUGCAUGUUCUUUUGACAAGUUUAAUAAAAGAUUUAGGAAAAAUCUAUGAUUUUGAAUCAAAAACUUUCCACCUGGGGAGAUGAAAACUGCACAGUUAAAGCACCAAACACAUCGUUCGUGAAUCAUGAUCAGAGGAAAAAAAAUUUCUUCGCUGGAUUGAAAACAUCAAAAUCAAUAUUCAUAAAUCAUGAUAAGAAGAUAAAAAGUUUUCUUUGUGGGAUAAGAAACAUCAGCUUUUCAGAUUUUUUUAAAUGAACAUGGAAGGAUUCCAGGUGUCCCUUUUAUAGUUUAUCAAAUAGGGUAAUUUGCCCUUAUUUGUACGUAAACCCAACCACAUCCUCCUCACAAAAAAAAAAAAAAAAAUGAUAAAAAACCAACGUCAUCCAUCGAACCAGCCAGUAAUUUUUCACACGUGUACAAUUUUUGGGAUUUCUUACCAUGCUGUUUGAAAAGCAUCUGGUACCGCCCAAAACAAAAAGUGCAUAAUUUUCCUUUUUUCCAAAGUUCUUUUAUAAAUUAGAUUGGUCAAUCGAAUUAUAGUGUGUUUAUUUGAGAGUUUAUGAAAUAAAAAUGAAGGAAUGAGAAUAAAAUCCAUAUUUAUUUAGUAAAAUAUAAUUUGGAAAUGAAAAUAAAAUAUGUGGAUCUUAUAUAAUUUGGGAAUAAGGAAUGAGAAUCUCAUUCCCAUGGGGGAUUGAGAAUAAAAAUGAGGGAAUGUGAAUGAAAUAUAUGUUUAUUUUUAUAUCCCUCUAAUUUUUUCAUAUUUAUCAAAUUACCCUCAUUCAAAUCACAAUUAAUUUUAUUAUUUUAAAUGUCAUUAAUAAUAAUAAUAAGUAUUAUUAUUAUUAAAUUUUAGUAACUUUAUUAUUUUAGUUAUUAUUAAUUAUUGUUAUUAUUAUUUUUAUUAAUAUUAUCAUUAAUAAUAAUAAUAAUAAUAACAAUAAUGACAAUAACUAAAAUAAUAAAGUUAAUAAAAUUUAAUAAUAAUGUAAUUUUCAUUAUCUAGAUACAUGUAUAAAUGUUAUUAUAAAAAUGAUAUUAAUAAAAAAUAAAAUGAAUAAUAAUAAUAAUAAUAAUAAAUGUUAAUAAUGAUAAUAUUAAUAAAAAUAAUAUUAACAGUAAUUAAUAAUAACUAAAAUAACAAAGUUAAUAAAAUUUAAUAAUAUUAAUAAUAUUAAUAAAAAUAAUAAUAACUAAAAUAAUAAAGUUAAUAAAAUUUAAUAAUAAUAAUAAAAGUUAAUAAUGAUAAUAUUAAUAAAAAUAAUAUUAACAAUAAUUAAUAAUAACAAAAAUAAUGAUAAUAUUGUUAAUAAUAAUAAAUUAAUUAUUUUUAUUAAUUAUUAAUACUAUGGGUAUUUUGAUAAAUUGAUUCUCAUUCCAUAAAGAAAACUAUCUUUUUAUAAAAGCAAUUCCACCAAAGCUGAAGAAGAAUCAGAUUUAGGGUUAGGAUUAGGAUUUGUCAACAUUUAGAAUUUUGGAUUUAGAUUCAGGAUUUGGCAACAUUCGGAUUUCGAGUUAGGUUUUGGUAAUUUUCCCUAAAUUUUGAUAUAUUUAUUUGUAGAUAAAAAUAUGAAUUUAUGUUUUAAUUUUAUACUUGAAAAUUAUAUUUUUACUCAAUAAUGAUGAUAGAAUAUUUCCAAAACAUUUAAUUAUAAGGCUAACAUAAUCAAAAAAGGGUAAAAUAAUCAAACGAUGAAUAAAGUUAACAUCGUUAGAAUAACAUAGGAUUUCAAGUAGGAAUGGCAAUCAAUCAGGUGGGGUUGGGCUUGGCCAAAGAAAAAGGCCAACCCGAUUAAUAGCCCUAUCAUUUCUCCUUCAGGUCGGGUCCGACCCAACCCGAUCAUAAAUUUACUUUCAGAAUUUUGCAAAUCUGGGCUGCACCAUUUUGUUACAAUUGCAAUUUAUGACCACAUCUCAAUUUCGUUCAUAUUACUUUUCAAUUUUUGUUCUCUUUCUAGUUAAAAUAUCAUGAAUAUAAAAUAGAAGAAAAUAUUUUUCUAUCUUAAAGUCAAAAUAAUUCACAAUAAAAUAGGCAAAAUAUACAAUACAAUAAUUACAAAAUAAUCCACAAUCCAACAUUGAAAACACACAACAGUAACUAAUUAAUUAUCUUGUAAUAUAUUUAGCAGAAAUUCUAAAUCAAUUUAUAAGCUUAAAUGAAAAGAUUAAUUAAUAUUUAUGAAAUUACCAAAGUUAACGGCAGCGGCUCAACCCCUCUCGGUCCCUCCUUGAGCGUGUGCAUGGCUGACAAGUUUAUGGUCGUUGAUUGAUGUUGAUGUGAUAGGACGAUGAGACAAAGCGUGGCUGGUGGCUGCUUCACAUCGUGCGGCUGAUUGGAGGCUUGGAGCAAGUGAGACAGUACGAGAGAGAACGCGGCUGAUUGAAGCAGGCGAGAAGUGGCAGCAGCACGGCAGAUUCACGUUGCAUGGUUGACGUUGAUGAUGAUGGUGUUGGUUGUCGGCUGAGUUGACUUAGGAUUUGAAAUGAGUUUGGUUGGUACUUUGGUUAAUUGGUUUUGUUCGUGGUGUGUGAUGUGUGCGUGUGUGAUUGUGAUGCGUGCAUGUGUGAUACUAUGAUGUUUGCAUGGAUGCAUCCUGCGUGUAGCGUGUAGUCGUGUGUGUUUUUUUUUUUUUUUGGAAUACAAGGUUGGGUCGGGUCUGCUUGAGCCCGAUCUUGACCCGAAAUUUGAUCAGGUCUAAAAAUUUUGGCCCGAAUCUAACCCAAAACUUGAAUAUUUGGGUCAAAGUCUGAAAAAUUAGGGUAGAGUCAGUCGGGCCAAAAAUAGGGUCGGGUUUAAUUGUCAUCCCUAAUUUCAAGUUACUUUAAAACAUGAGGUGAUUUUUACUUAGUUUCACCUAACAACAAGAGGUAAUACUCAUUUUCCCAGUUAUAAAUGAGUAAAUACUCCUUCAAUUUCUAAAAUUUGAACUAAUUAUGAUUUUAAAUAUUUUGCUACAUUUUUUUUAAUGUUCCCCAUAUUAUCAAAAUAUUUAUUGCUACAUUUUUUAAGCUAUUAAUUUGUCAUAUUUUCCGAGUUUUAUGUUACAUAUAGCACGUUAGGAAAAAGCUGGGUUGUUCGAAGUUGAUGCUCGAACCGGCAAAAUCAAAAUGAUUGUUUGGACACCAAAUCAAGCACCAACUUCGGCCAAACUAACAUUGCUCAUUUGUUACGUUAGUUUUUCCCCUUUUUUUAUGGAAAACAUUUAUAAUAUUACUUUCUUUUAAAAAAUAAACAUUAAGGGAUUAUUUUUUUAAUCUAAAUUUUAAUUAUUUUCAAACUUUUAGAGUUUUUAGGUUACAAUAUCCAAAUGAAUUAAUUAUAUUAUCUCAUCAACCAAUUGAUAAAUGCCACAAUAUUUGAGAUAGUUUUUUUUUUUUUUAUAAAAAGUUUGAAAUAUGUAUCACUACCAUUUAGACAAUCUGAUUAUUUUAUGUUAAAACAAAAUUAGUGAUCAAUAAUGGUCAAGAGACUUAUGUAAAGAAAAUGAUAUAAUUAAUUAAUUAUUUAAAAUUUCUCUAUAUUUUAAAUUUUAAAAUAAUGUAAAUUAUGUUUUGAAAUUGAAUGAAUGUACACGUAUUGUGGAGUACCGAUAUCCCUACCCAAUAGAAUAUUAUUUGGGUCUACCUUUUAAGAGGCUCGUCUCUUGGGAUUUGGGCCUUCAUUCUAAGCCUUCUUAGGGAUAUCAAUUGGGCAUAUUUUGAAUAAUAAAGAUUGCUAGGCUUAUGACAAUGCUCCAUUUGGUAUUCGUUUCAUUUGAACAUGCGCUUCUUUUAUGAACGCACGACAAGAAAAAGAAUACUGUAACGAGUGAUACGAGUCAAUGGAACUAAAUUAUACCCGUAUAAAUGCUUUCAAUUACUCAUUGCAAUUGUUAGAGCAUCUCCAAAAGGCUCUAUAAAUUUUACUCUUUAAAUAUCUAUUUGCUUACCUAUGUGGUAAAUAGAAGAGUGAAAAAAUAUGUUAUUCUCCAAAAGACUCUUCAAAUAUAAAUGAAUUAAUAUUAUUUUAAUUAAAAUAACUAUUUUUUUAAAAGAAAAGUCAAUAGUAAUUAAAGCACCUCUCUCUUUUUCUCCAACAAAAAGUAAUAAAAUAUAAAUUGAAGAGGGAGAAACCAACUCUCCAAAAUUGAAGAGGGAUCAUUUAUUAUUUGAAGAAUCUUAAUUAGAGUGUCUUUUGAAGCUUUAAAAGCUGACGUGGCUCUUCAAAUAAAUAAUAAAAUCUUAUUUGAAGAGUGUUUUGGUGAUGCUCUAAUCAUAUGAAAUGUUAGUCAUAAUCCUAGUUGGUGCAACAGUAGUUGAGCAUAUAUGGUCAAAUCCCCAAAACUUAUCCCGUUACUAAACAAGCCUGAAGUUAAAUUUACCCUGUGGAAGAAAGUCUUAGGUACUACAUGAGGGCCACAUCAUUUCUUUUCACACUGUAAUAUUAGAGCACUAGAAAAAUUGCCUAAAAUAUAUACAAUUAUAUAUCUGCAGGUUUUGGAUUUUAUCUAAUUAAAAGGAAUUGAAUCUUCUACAUAUUAUCAAAUUAAUCACUAGUAUUUAAAGAAAAUAUGGCUCUAGAGUAAUUCCAGGUUUUUUUUUUCUUUCAUUUUUCAGAGAGGAGUAAAUAACAACAAAAAUAAUCCAUUUCAUGGCCAAGAAUGCACAUUAACCGGAGAAAAAUAUGAUCUUAAAUGAUAAAACAAAAUGAAUAUAUAGUAAUUUUACUUACAAACUAGCAGUAUUUUUCACUUUCCUCUAUUUAGGAUUCAAAAAGUGAUAUUAUCUAGAUUAUUUCUAUGUUGAGUCAUUUGAACAUGUCAUCAAUAUUUAUUGAGUCAGGGCAUGUCACUUGUAUAACUAGGAAGGCAGAGAUGAGAUAAUUAGGAUUGGACCUUUAUUGAGACAUUUAAUUAAACACUUUACUAAAUAUAUCAAACACUUGUACACACCAGCAUUUAUAACAAUAAACUAUAUUUCAUUUUUACUCUCUACACAAACUUAAAUANNNNNNNNNNNNNNNNNNNNNNNNNNNNNNNNNNNNNNNNNNNNNNNNNNNNNNNNNNNNNNNNNNNNNNNNNNNNNNNNNNNNNNNNNNNNNNNNNNNNNNNNNNNNNNNNNNNNNNNNNNNNNNNNNNNNNNNNNNNNNNNNNNNNNNNNNNNNNNNNNNNNNNNNNNNNNNNNNNNNNNNNNNNNNNNNNNNNNNNNNNNNNNNNNNNNNNNNNNNNNNNNNNNNNNNNNNNNNNNNNNNNNNNNNNNNNNNNNNNNNNNNNNNNNNNNNNNNNNNNNNNNNNNNNNNNNNNNNNNNNNNNNNNNNNNNNNNNNNNNNNNNNNNNNNNNNNNNNNNNNNNNNNNNNNNNNNNNNNNNNNNNNNNNNNNNNNNNNNNNNNNNNNNNNNNNNNNNNNNNNNNNNNNNNNNNNNNNNNNNNNNNNNNNNNNNNNNNNNNNNNNNNNNNNNNNNNNNNNNNNNNNNNNNNNNNNNNNNNNNNNNNNNNNNNNNNNNNNNNNNNNNNNNNNNNNNNNNNNNNNNNNNNNNNNNNNNNNNNNNNNNNNNNNNNNNNNNNNNNNNNNNNNNNNNNNNNNNNNNNNNNNNNNNNNNNNNNNNNNNNNNNNNNNNNNNNNNNNNNNNNNNNNNNNNNNNNNNNNNNNNNNNNNNNNNNNNNNNNNNNNNNNNNNNNNNNNNNNNNNNNNNNNNNNNNNNNNNNNNNNNNNNNNNNNNNNNNNNNNNNNNNNNNNNNNNNNNNNNNNNNNNNNNNNNNNNNNNNNNNNNNNNNNNNNNNNNNNNNNNNNNNNNNNNNNNNNNNNNNNNNNNNNNNNNNNNNNNNNNNNNNNNNNNNNNNNNNNNNNNNNNNNNNNNNNNNNNNNNNNNNNNNNNNNNNNNNNNNNNNNNNNNNNNNNNNNNNNNNNNNNNNNNNNNNNNNNNNNNNNNNNNNNNNNNNNNNNNNNNNNNNNNNNNNNNNNNNNNNNNNNNNNNNNNNNNNNNNNNNNNNNNNNNNNNNNNNNNNNNNNNNNNNNNNNNNNNNNNNNNNNNNNNNNNNNNNNNNNNNNNNNNNNNNNNNNNNNNNNNNNNNNNNNNNNNNNNNNNNNNNNNNNNNNNNNNNNNNNNNNNNNNNNNNNNNNNNNNNNNNNNNNNNNNNNNNNNNNNNNNNNNNNNNNNNNNNNNNNNNNNNNNNNNNNNNNNNNNNNNNNNNNNNNNNNNNNNNNNNNNNNNNNNNNNNNNNNNNNNNNNNNNNNNNNNNNNNNNNNNNNNNNNNNNNNNNNNNNNNNNNNNNNNNNNNNNNNNNNNNNNNNNNNNNNNNNNNNNNNNNNNNNNNNNNNNNNNNNNNNNNNNNNNNNNNNNNNNNNNNNNNNNNNNNNNNNNNNNNNNNNNNNNNNNNNNNNUUAAGUGAAAAGAAUUAAGAGCAUCGGCAAAACUUUAUUUGCGGCGGUAGUCAAAUUGAUUGAGUUGUUUCAAAACUACAGAUUAUGAAUAUGUAGAGUUUUGAUAUAGUGUGCGUCUGUCGUGCACUAUAAUAUGUAUACUCAUCUAUUCACAAAAUAUAUAGCUAGUUAGAGAUUAUACAUAUACUCUUAAUUGGACUUAUAUAUAUGCUAUUGUGCACUCUAUUAGAUAAAUAAGUAGUCAAAUUGAUUGAAUUGUAUCAAAAACUAAAGAUCAUGCGUAUGUAGAGAACUGACUUAGUGUGCGUUAGUCGUGCACCAUAAUAUGUAUACUCAUCUAUACAAGAAAUAUAAUAUAUCCAAUGACGCUUAUAAAGUAUUGAGAUGAUAACAGAAUGAUGUCGUUAAUGUUGUAAUGAUUGACAAUAUUACAUUAUAUUGUAGAGUUAAUUUAGUGCUUAAAGCUCCUUAUGAUUGUACUCCUUGUAUGUUUAUAGAUUGCAUGAACCAACUAUAAUAUUUAUUUUUAUCUCUUGGGUUUGCAAAACAUUUAAAUCUCUAUUUCGUUCAUGAAGUUAAAUUAUUUAUGAAAAAUGUAAAAAAAUAAAAAUAAACAUUUUAAUCCAUGUAUAAUUUUUUAACAUUUAUUAAUCUUUCCUUUUGGAGGAAACUCAAAAUCAAUGGAACAAAUUUUAAAUCCUGUAUAUUUUGAAGCUGCAAUAAGAGGCAAUGUCAAUGAUUUUCCAUUUUCUGACAUCACUAAACAAGAUUUACAUCAUAUUUUUUGAGAAAGUCUUUCCUGAUGGCAAUAUUUUACUUUAUGUGGUGGCUAAGUUUGGUCACAGUGAAAGUUUUGCACAAAUAGCUCACUAUUAUCCAUUUCUAAUCAAUAAGAAGAACAACCAAGGAGAUACUCCUUUUCAUUGUGCUACUCCAGCUGGAAAGUUAAAACAACCACCACGCUCAUCAACUUUGCUAAACAUAUUCCUAGUACAUUGCAAGCACCAAUGAAUUUGCUAAGGAUGGAGAACUCAAUGGGAAACACAACUUUGUAUGAAGCCUUGUUUAUGCUAGGCAAAUUUGCUACAUGGAAUAUAAGUACUACUAAUAGUUUUCUGGGCAUGACUCAUUCCUAUUUCUCAUCAAAUCCUACAUUAGCCAUAUCUGAGAUAAUAAAGACAAGUAACUCCUUAAUAGCUUUAGCUUAUUUUCUUGUCUCAUUGGAUCCUGGUUUGUCUUGUCGCAAGAACGUUGCAGAUACGAUCCUUUUAUAUUUGACGACUAAAAUAAAAAACAUGGAUAUUCUGGAAUAUAUUUUGAGAAGUCUACCUUACAAUAUAAGUUAGUCGUAAAUUCUUCUUUGCAAAUCGCCAAAAAGAAAAGAAAUCAAGGUAUUUGAAAUUCCAACAUUAUUUUCCAUAUCUUUCAUUUUAAAAGCAUAGUUUUCUUUUUCAAAAUUUAUUUAAAAAGUUGUAUUAUUAUGUUUUCUGUUUUGAAUUUCAGAUGUGCUAUAUCUGACUAAUGAGUACAAACUAGAGCUUCUUCUUUUAGAAUGUGGAAAUGGAAACAUUUCACUCCACUUUACUACGUCAAAUGACUACCUUAAAGUGUACAUCCUACUUGAAGUUAAUGGUCAUAGUGCUUUCAAAUAAAAUAAAGAGACCUUUUAUCCCAUAUACCUUGCAUGCAAAAAUAGUCAUUUUAAGAGACCUUUUAAGAUGCUAAAAAAGUAACCCUACCUAAGUUUGUUUGUCACUGAUAGUGGUUGCAACAUUCUAGAAUUUAUAGCCAAGAAUGAGAUGGUUAAUUCCAUCGUCUAGAUCUAGAAACUAAUAUAACCAAGGAUGAGGUAGUUAAUUAGAUGAAUGAGAAUGAGAAUACCCUUUUGCAUUUGGUAGCCGUGCAUGGCCAUUCUCAGGUUGUUUAUACUAUACUCAGAUAUGGNNNNNNNNNNNNNNNNNNNNNNNNNNNNNNNNNNNNNNNNNNNNNNNNNNNNNNNNNNNNNNNNNNNNNNNNNNNNNNNNNNNNNNNNNNNNNNNNNNNNCUCAGAUAUGGUAGAGCAUAUCAUGGCCUUAAGAACGAGCUAGUCUUAGCAACCUAUAAAAUGACUUUGGAAGAAUAUAACAUGCAAAUGAAUAUAUUUGGAAAAUACAAAAAAACUAUGAAGGUAGUGGCACUUUCUCUUUAUUAUCUCAGAACUUACUCUAAAAAUAAUGCUUGUUUUAACUUUCUAUAUAAUAUUGUGAUUCAUUAAUCUUAUGAAUUUUUCAGUUGCAAACAACUCAUAAAAAGAUUACUGCUUAUGGUGAAACCUCAUGAGUAUCAGGUCAGAAAAGUAAUGAAAAUAAAGUUAAAUUGUAAGUAUAAAUCACUCGAUCUUAUCUUAAAGCAUAUCUAAAUAAUACUUAAUUAAUGUCUAUUAUUGUAUAUCCUUGAAAUUUUAGGGACAACGUUAUAUAUCCAUAAAUUAAUUAACAAAUAUAUCAAAUUUAUUUAGCCCAUUGCAUAUGGUGAAAGCCCAAGAGGAUCAUGUUAGACUUUAGAGAAAUGACGAAUAUAUCAAGAUAAAUUGGUGAGUACAAAUCAUUCUAUUUGGUCUUAUGAUUUUUGUUUGUGUAUUUUUAUAGUUGAAUUAUAAAUCAAUUAUAUCUUUACAUCACAAUGUUACAUGUAUUUCUCUAGUUGAAAUGUAUAAAGAUUGAAAUAGACUAAUACUGCACACAAAAAAAUUCAAAGAACAACACUACUUUUUCAUUAUUCACAUGCAUGAUAUAUAACACAUAUUGUUUCAUUGCUCAAUGUCCUUGCAUGAUAUAACAACUCUCAUUUGUUAAUCAUUUCCUUACUUGAUCUUACCUCUAUAUCAUUUAGAGUAUUAUUGUUAUAUGCUAAGUCAUCUGAAUAUGUCAUCAAUACUUGCUGAUUCAUGUCAUUUGUAUGGCUAGGAAGGUAGAGAUGAGAUGAUUAGGUUAGGAUCUUCACUAGGACAUUCAAACACUUUGCUAAAUAUAUCAAACAACUUACAUACUAACACUUAUAACGAUAAAAUAUAUUUCAUUUUAUUUAUUUACAUAUGCUUAGUCUAUUUUUGAAUUCUUUAUUCUACAGAAGAAGACACUAUUAAUUUAUUUCUACAAUGAGUAGGAUUAUGAAAGGAAAAUGACACAUUUUUUAAUCCAUUUCUCGUUGAGAAGUUAAGCAAAAAAGAAGUCCAGACACUAUCUCCAUUCAAAAAUCACAAAUUCUGUUAAGGAUUUUUGAUUUUUUGAUACGAAAGAAGAGUUUCUAGUAACCAAUCGAUUGAGUUUUACUAUUCUUUUAGGUUUGUGAUUUUUGGAGGAUAGUUUUUGAGUAAAUUCACCAUUUAUUAGUAAGGGAAUGUACCAUUUUGACUUUUUAAUUAUUUAAACUAACCGAAGUAAUUAAUAAAUUAGGAUUUAAAUGUCUUUUUCAAAAUGGUAGGAAGUUUUGUGUCCCUUUCUAUAAAUGUUUAGGGUAUCAAUUCUUUUACAUAAUUAGUUCUUAAUAUAUGCCUUUGUAAUGACAGUAUCUAUAAAUUAAUAUAUUUCUUGAGGGUCAAGGGAGGGUAUUUUUUUAAAGAAAGGCUUACAUAAUUAAUUAUCACGCGUAUUCAAAACAAUCUUUAAUGAUAAAAUACUAAAGCUAACACAUUCAUGGUAACAAUUUGUUGAAAAUAAUUUAGGCUAAUUGUUCGAAGGGUUAUAUUAGGGUAAAUUUGGGAUUGCAAUAUUAGCCUUCCUAAAGAAGAAGAUUUUAUACAAAUUCUCAAAAAGAGAGAGAGAGAGAGAGAGAGAGAGAGAGAAAUCCGCUUUACAAAUAAUUUGCAAAUAUUCUUGGUAAAUUUAGAAUAUUCUUAGAUAAUAUUAUUACUUAUUAAUUACAUAUUAAAGUGUGUAUAUGUGUGAAUUGACCAAAAUAGCCAUGUUACUAUGUCUGGCAAUGUAAGUAAUUAUGUUACUACAUCAUUAAUAUUCACUUUCCAAGUAUUGCAAAAAAUAUUCUUUAAUAAGUUACUAAUAUGAAUGAGUUUUACUUAAAUUACAAAAGAAUUAAUAUGAAUAGCUAUAUUAUUAUAUAAGUAAUAAUUAAAAGCAAAAAACGAAAACGAAAAAAUAAAAAAUCACCAGCAGUUAUAAUUCUAAUUUAUGAACCUAAAAUUACAAGGUAAUGCUCUAUCUGGUAAGAUCAAGCAUUGGCAUGGACAAAAUAUAUCACCCGCAAUUAUAAUUCCAAUUUAUGAAUUUCAGUAUUUUUUAUUUAUUUGAUUUUGUAAAGAAUGUACUUAUGAAAUUAUGUAAUUUCUUUGAGGCCACUUAUGGUAUUUAAAUAUAUUUAACUGUAAACAUUUUGGAAAGUUAUUAUAGGCCACCCCACUAUUAAGUAUUAAGAAUCAAUAAUAAAGUUGAAUUUUUUGAUGUUUAAGAAUCACUUUUGAAAUUGGUAUGCCAAACUUAUUUUGAGUGCUAGAUUGUCGAAUGUGUGAUAAUUACGUAUUUGACAAUCUAAUCCCAAACAUGCUAUUAUUCUUUUACUACUCCAAUUACACUAAAAUAACAAACAACUAUACAGCAAUUAUUGAAUUGUAAAUUCUUACAUGUUAAAUAAUAAACAUAAAAGUCGUCUUUACAGGGAGUAGUGGAUUCCAGAACCCUAAUUUUAUAUCUCAUAUACCACCUCCAGUUUUGUUACAGCAAGAGGCCAAUAUCUCCAUGGUCACUAUAGAGAGGAUCUGCACAUUUUCGCUGAGGGUGAUAGCCAUCUUGACGACAUUUUCGGCGACGAUUGUGAUGAUCACAAGCCAUGAGAGAGUUAGAUUGAACGAAGUGUCAUAUGAAGCAAAGUACAGUGACAUGCCAACAUUCAAGUUCUUUGUAAUAGCAAACGCAAUUGUAUGCAUCUAUGGCCUUCUGGUUCUCUGUCUUCCUUCGAAGAGUUUGCUCUGGGGAUUAAUCGUUGCUUUAGAUAUGGUUUUGACGAUGUUACUUACUUCAAGCAUUUCGGCUGCUUUAGCAAUUGGUCAAGUGGAAAAGAAUGGGAAUUCGUCGGCAGGUUGGUUACCAGUUUGCGGCCAAGUCCCCAAGUUUUGUGAUCAAAUUACAGGAGCUUUAGCUGUUUCCUCCAUUGGAGUAAUUAUUUAUAUGUUGCUGAUUCUCUACGCCAUCCACAAUGCCCUAGAUCCUCUUCUUGUUCACAAUUCUUGAGAUUUCUUUGCCAUAGUGGUCAUUCAUUUUGCUGAUUUUAUUAUUUUUUUUUCUAUUUUCAUGGUGUUUAUAGUUGUAAACGGUAGUUCUAGAGUCUCUAGUUUUAACCUAGUAAUUUUAUUAAGAGAAAAUUUUAGGUGAUGUCGAAACUACCGUGAGCUCUUAACACCAUUAAUUAGGGUUACACAUGCAUUUCUUACUAAAUUAUACAUAUAUGACAUAUUAUAUAUUAAAUGUGAAAUGAUCCAGUAAGGGCUGGUUCUAGAGUUUUUGGGACCUUAGCCAUGCAGUCGUGUGGGGACCAUGGACUCUAUUUCUUUAAUGCAAGAAAAGCUCGCAAGUAACAAUGUUAUCCGUUGUUAAUCUUAAACAAAUUAAAAAAAAAAAAAAGGUCAUCAUUACAGGGAAUGUAUAUCAAUAAUUUCGACUUUCGUUUUCAUCAUCUAUAAGGCUUAGCAAUUUAACGAUCAAGAGUAUGCGGAAAAUAACCAUUCAACUAAAAAGAGUAUCAAAAUUGUAAUUUCAAUGAAAAUUAAUAGACCAGAACAAAGAUACCACUGCAUUAAAGAAUAUCAGAUAUCGGAAGGACUUCAAGGGUGACCAUUUGCCUUCGAAUGAAAAGUGCCAUACAUGAUUAUAUAUCCAAUUGUGUUUAGAGAAUAGAGAUCAGUGUCGUGGAUUAUGUUGCAGUUUCAUCCUGGCUGUUAUAAUCAACCUGCCGGAAAAAUUCCCAGAACUGAACAACUCCUGUCUGCCUGCCUCUCCUUUUCGACAACCUUGGCAAGUUAAAUUACUGAAUUUCCUGCUUGCUUUUCUCGUCUUCACUAAUAUUGUAUUUGUAAAUUAAAAAAAAAAAAGUAAGACAGACUAUGAGUUUUAAUCUGAGUUCUAAUUAUUGUGAGUCACUCCUUAAUUGGAUGAUGAAUUUUCUAAUUUGGUCAUGGAAUCAUCCAAUAGAUGGGUUACUUAAUUUUAAUAGCAAUUAAAAUAACAAUUUCAAUUAUAGCUACGACUAUUAAUUAAAAUUUAAAAUUGUAAUUAUGAUUAUAGUAAAAUAACAAGAAAAUAAACUUCAACCAUUUAAAGAUAUACUGUUGUACCAUAAUAUUAGAGACUUGAAAUCCACAAACUUCAUUUUUUUUCUCUUAUUUGUUGUAUAAGAAAUUCCUCAAGAAUACUCUAGAUUUAAGAGAAAACUAAGUCAGAUUACAUUUUUUUUCUGAAAAUUAUUAUUAAAAAUACUCUUAUUAACUGACUGUGGAUAGUUUUGGCGUGAAAUGAAAAAAAAAAAAGAAUAUGAAAUCCUUGGCGUGAAAUGAAAAAAAAAAAAGAAUAUGAAAUCCUUUUGAGUAUCAAAUAUUAUUAAAAAAAAAAAAGAUACGAUUAGCAUUAUCAAUUCGUAUCAAAAUAGACUGAAAUCAGAAACAAAAUAAGUUGUUUAUUUUGACUCUAAAAUUAAAAUUUUAAUGAACUAUUACAAGUAGUCAAAAUGUCCUUAGUUAAUUAUUAUUAUUAUUAUUAUUAUUAUCUAGUAAAGAUAAUAAUAACCGAAAAGCAAUAUAAUAAAUAAUAUAACAAUAAUAUAUUAUUAUACUAUUACUAAAAAUACUAAUAAAAAUAAUAACGACGGUAACAAUAAUAAAAUAUUAAAAAUAUUUUAAUCGGCCCAAACGUUGUGGAUGACUGCAUCGUUUAGCAUUCUGCUAGAAAACGACAAUUUGCUCUUUGAAUAAACAAAACGCCAACAUUCCUAAAUGGCAUAUGGCAUAGUCCAGAUGACUCGUUGAUUAUCUUUUAACACAAUCCUUAUUGAAUCCAGCCUCUAAAUGACGUGACAUGUUCUUUCAAAAAAUUAUUAUAAAAAAUAUUCUUAUCAAUUAAGUGGGGAUAAUUUUGGGUGCGAAAUAAAAAAAUAAAGAUUAUGAACUCUUUUUAUAAGCUAAAUAUUAUUUUAAAAAAUAUAAUUAGCAUUAUCAAUUUGUAAUUGGAAUAGAGUAGAAUUAAAAUCAAAAUAAGUUGUUAUUUAGCUAUAAGAAUCAUAAUCGAAAUGAAUUAUAUUCCUAUCAAUGUAUUUACUUCAUCUAAAAAUCAGAAUGUAAGAAAAAUACUACAAGUUUACAAUAUUAUGGUGAAGCUACUUGAAAAAGCCUUGAAAUAUAUUAAGUUUACAAUAUUAUGGUGAAACUACUUGAAAAAGCCUUGAUAUAUAUUACCAAAAAAGAAAAAAAAAGGAAGAAAAAUUAUAUACUAAUGUGACCUUAUUUAAAACUUCAUAACCAAGAUAAUUAAGAAAAUACCAUUAAAAAUAUAACAAUUAUUCAGAAAAAAACUCAAAUGAUUAAGGAAAAUGUGAAGCUAUUUGAGGUAUAGAAAUAUAUAGCCCCCUAUACAUUUGAAUUAAAAAAACCGAAAAACAAUACCUCAAAAAAUCUGCAAUAAGAAUAAAGAUAUGAAAUUUGGAAAACAGAAAAAGGAUGAAGUUUCAAGCUUACAUAAUUAACUUAUCAAAUUCGAGUUCAAAAAGCAAGAAUUCAACACGUACAUAAUUAAUUUGAUUGUAUUCGUUUUGAUGUAGCUUAAUCUUAUAGAGGGUAUUUUUUUUUUUUUUCUAAUGUGGCACAAUAGGUAAAUGCUCAAUAAAUUAAUUUUGUAAUAUUAUUUCAUGCGAGGCGAUCAUGUGCCAUAAGCUUUAUUAAUCAAAAUAGUCUAUCUUGAUUGAAUAUUUUAAUAUUCUAUAUAUAUUUAAUUAGCAAAUUGUGAAUUUUCUCUUUGUCUUUUGCAUAAAUGUCAAUUGAACUGAGUAUGUGAAGAAUGACUUAAACCACUUAAGUUUCUACUUCCUAAUAAUCAAAUGUUAAUACCUCAUUUCAAUAUUCCGUCCAUGGUACUUGAAAUAGUAAUUAAAGAAUAUAUAUUAUUGACAAGUAAAUAUGAUUCUCUAACAAACAAAUGAAUUAGAUUUAAUUCACCAAUAAUAUUAUGCUUACUUAGUCAAAAUACUUAGUUUGUAUUUUAACUGAUGUGGCAAACAAUGUGUUAUUAUUUGAUUAGUUCAAGUGAUAGUUGAUUAUUAAAUUUCAUCAUUUCUAAUGAAAAUAAUGAAAUUAUUUUGGUAAUAGACCAAUUGGGAUACUAAAAAAUUUAUCAAAGUUCCAAGUGAUAAAAACAAAUUUUAAGAUGGAUAAAAGUUUUACUCUCACCUAAUUAUCUUUUAAACGAUGUGAAUUCAUAUAAUAAAAUCAACUUUGGAUUUAAGCCAAGGUUAAGGACUUAGAAUUGAUAUGUGGAUUCAAAAGAACAAAAAUAUCCAAGAUAUCCUUCUAUUUGACGAAAUUAACUUUUUUUUUUCAUGUUUUAAAAAACUUACCAAUCUCCUUAAUUAGCAGUCUCUUAACUUAUAGAAUGUUAAAUAGCUCAAAAUAUUUUUUUGGAGGGUUUCAUUUUUUUUAAAUAGAAAAAUCUAAUAAUUGAAAAAUGAAUAGAUUUUAAUACUAAUUUUAGAGGAAUUUACCAAUAAUUCUGUAAACAUCAAGAAUGAUUCAGGGAACGAGUGAAGAAAAGAUAAACAAGAAGCAAAAAGUCGCACUCCAACCAAAUGUGUCGUCAACCUUUUGCAUAAGCAAAAGUUCAAUUACAAGAAUGGCCGCCAUAAUUUCAACAUAGUAAGAAGCGCAAAAUCCCAAGAGAAAACAAUAAUUCUAUUGACCAACCUUAUUAAUAAAAUACUUUUUUAUUAUUAUUUAACACCAUUAAUUUUUUUGGGGAAAACUAUUUACACCCACAUGUCAUAUGUAUUAUAUAUUAUUUAACAACUUUUUAUCUUUUAAACACCUCCCAAAAACCCUUUUUCCUUUUCUUUCUUUCUUUUUUUUCCCCCCUCUAUUGGAUUAAACAAAUUUUUUUUUUUAAACCAGAAAAUAAUCGAAAGCCUUAUUAUUCCUUUUGCAAAUCAAAUAUGGAAUACAGGCUAUGCACAGCCAUCAAUGGAAUUAUGGUAAGAACACAAUUGCAUACCAGACAAACAAAUUUUGAGCGCUCUGCUUAGAUGCGGAAAAAAUAUAUAUAUUGGAUUUGAACAAUAAGAAAGAAUUGAAAUACUGGGGUUCCGCGAGAAAUUAUUUAUUUAAAGAGAGGUGUUAUUAGACAUUUAUAUUUUAUUUUUAAGUACUUAAAUAUGGGUUUUAACUUUUAAGGGGUUCAAUUUUCUCUCUAAAACCUGAUGAAUCAACCACACGCGCCAUCACCGCAGGCCCCUGGGCCCUGGUGACGCAGCAGCAAUUAUAACAGCCUCUCAAAAGUUUCAAACCUAACGAACAUUUGACUGAGCUUUUGACUUUUGUAAUGCAUGUGCAAGACACGUGAUCUGGGCUUUUAAACAACAACAGCCUAAACGACAGUUUCUUUGAUUCUCUCCGGUGUUGUUUUGAUUCACCAACCUGACAGAAAGGCCGUGUGUACAGAUUUUAUCCCUUCAAUUUCCUUAUUGCUGCCUCCGGUUCAAUGAAACCCAAGUUAAGAGUACAUUAGUAAAAAUUUACUAAUGGGCGCAUAAAAAUUUACUUUUUGUUUAAUAAAACGUAACGGGUUAUUUGUACCUUAAAUUAUAAUCUGCAUCUCACAAAUAUUUAAUAGAAUUUGCGGUUACUAAACGUCCACGAUAUUGGAAUUAAUUGUCAAGGACAAUUAUUAUAAGUGAAAACAUGUUGUCAUUCUUCAAAUUCAUCCAAUUCACUCAUUCUUAUAUUAACACGGUAAUAUUUUCUCUUCAACACCAAAUUUGAUGCAAAGUGCUUAUGGGAUACGAUGCAAUUGACAGCAAAACUGUAAACUGUUUUCUGAAAUUAUGUAUGGUGCUUUGGAGCGUCAUUAUCACUGCAUUGUAGCACUCUACUCCCAGAACAUAAAAAAUAAAAAUUGCGUGAGACCAGACCACAACUUCAGUGUCGUAUAGUAGGUCCUACAACGAAUCUAUAAACUUUUUAAAUAUUAAGUUUAGUCAAAUACACCGAUGAUGAUCGCUCUUUGUAACCCACUACUAUGACAUGCGACAAAGUAUCAUUGGAUCACAAGUUUUUACCCCAAACUAAUCCUAAGUUAGAUACUUAGACUACUGUAUAUGAAUUAUAUAACACCAACAAAUGUUAAGUAAUAAUUGACUUUUGUAUUAUUAUUUAUGUAAAAUAAUUAAAUAAUAUUAAUCAAUAAAAUAACGCGUUAAAUAUAAUACAAAUGUUGAGGCGAUGGGCCGGUUCAAUGAAUUUUUAUUUUUUUUACGUGAUAGAGCGGGUUUUACUGUGAGAUUCAUCAUUUUUUAAAUAUUAAGUUUUUCCCCCAAAAUAACCCUAAGCUUUAAAACUUGGAUAAUUUUAUAUCAAUGAUGUGCAAUCAAUAGAAUGUUAAGUAAUAGUUGAUUGUUUUAUUAUCAUUAAUAUUAAAAAAAUUAAAAAUAACAUGCUAUAUAUAUCAUACUAUUUAAAACUAAAAUUUGGUUUGGAAUCUUCAUCGAAGGCUAAACAUUAAUUAUUGCGAUGAGUUUAAUAGACUAAGGAGUUUUAAUAGAGUUUGAUGGAGUUUUAAUAGACAGAAUAACACAUUAAUUAUCACAAAUUUUGGCAAAUCGGCUAAAAUUGAUAGGUAAUUUUGUAAUAAUUAUUUUAUUCAAGCAAGAGUGUUCAGAAUCAUUUUUGUCUUACCUAGAUUUUUUUUUCAAAAAAAUGGCUUUCUUCUUGUGGCUCCCUAAUUUUUAAUCAUUUAUUGAAUAAGGAUUUAGUUUGUUCAUUUUAUCAAAAAGGUCCUCAUUCUCAACUUAUGUACUUAAUGUGAUUAGUAUUAUAUUUAUGUCGCAGGACAAUUAUAUAUAUCUGUAAUUUCGAUGCUUGCAUUUUUGUUGUGAUUGCUUCAUUCUAGUGGCAACAAGUUUACCGGAUUCAUAUUUUGUGAUACUUAUUACAGCUAUUGUCAAACCUAUAUAUAUAUAUAUAUAUAUAUAUAUAUAUAUAUAUAUAUUUUGGAGAAAUAUAGUUAAACCCAUUUGAAUACUUUUUUCGUUUCAAGAGUUUUAAAAAUAUAGAAUGUUCAUAAUGACAUCCAAAAAUUGUACCCAAAAAAAUUAAAUUUAGUUUAGUUGUCAAAAUUUUGGUUAUUUUAAAUUACAUGAUUAUGUAAGAUACAUUAAUCAUCAAAACUCAUGCAAAUAAUCAAACAAUGUCAACGUAUUGAGAUAAUGGAGUAAAAGAAAAUAGCUUGACUAAUAUAGAAUUCGUUGUUCAUAACUUUUAGUUACCUUGAACCUCCAAUUGAUGUAAUUUGAUGUCACGAGCUAUACGUAACUGCGUUGCAUUUGUUAUUGCACACAAUGGAAAGAAUUAACACUAAUUUUCCUCAUUAUAUAUGGAAUAUGAUAUUAAAAAAAGUAAUGAUAUAAUCACAACUACCUUUAUAUUUGUACACACUAAUGUCUAGUUGUCGUCAACCUUUUGCAUAAGUAAGUUCAAAUAGGAUGGCUGCCGUAAUUUCAGCAUAGUAAGAAGCGCAUUAAAAAAAAUUAAAAAAAAUUAUUAAUGAGAUUGGUCGGUAGAAUUAUUAUUUUGAUCCAUAUAAGUUUACUGGACUUAUGAAUGACGAGGCUUCGUUUGGUCAUUCAUGUAUGUCAGUAUAUAUAUUUAAACGAUAUUCAUAUAUAAUUUGUAAUGACAGGAUUAAUUGAUAUUUUUUGACAUGUACAUGUAUGUUGAACUGACUUCACAUGUACAUGUAUGUAUAUUUAAAACAGUUUGUCAUGAUAAAGUCGAUACAUGCAUUAAUUUACUGGCGACAAUUUACUGAAAGUCCAUUUUAUCACGAUGUGAAUCUAAUUGAAAGUAUCUGAACUAGUCAAUCACAUAACAUAAAAAGGAGGAAAAAUGAUAAGACAAGCCAGAUACUAUUUAUACUAAUCUCACGUUGUUGAUCACAUUGUGUCCCAAAUCAUUCUUCUGAUUGGAUUUUUUUUUUUUGGUUAAGUUGUUAUAAUCAAUAGAAAUUUACAAUUUGAAAUUUAUUAAAACUCUAGAUACAGACGCAUAUAAUACAACUCCGAGGUCUGGUGAGCAUUGAGUUUGGAAAAAAUGUCCCACUCACAAAUAAGGAGAAAUAUUUUUCAUUCAAUGGGAAUGAACCGGGUAAUUUUUAAAAACCUCCCCUGAGGUUUGGGCUUAUUGCAAGUAGAUGGCGAGAAUUUAUUUAUUUGUAAAAAAACUCCUACCGUCAGUUAACUUUAACAUUGACCGUUAGUUGACUGUGCAAAGACAAUAUUACCCUUAACAACAGUUUGUAGACGGAAAUAACUAAAAAAAAGAUUAAAAUUGUUGGUUAUUUUACCCUCUUUAAAUUAUUGAUAUUUUCUUAAAGUUCCUACAAGAAAGAUAAAAUUAAAAAUUUGAAAAAUCCUCUUUAAAUUAUUGAUAUUUUCUUAAAGUUCCUACAAAAAAGAUAAAAUUAAAAACUUGAAAAUGAAAUAGUUAUAAUCUUUACAUAUGAUAUUGUAAAUCUUUGGAAUUGACAAGGAUAAAAUUGUCAAAAAAUAGAAUUUGUGCUUUUCGCGCCAACAAUUUUAAUUUUUAUUUUAGUUAUUUCCGUAUACAAACUGUUGUUAAGGGUAAUAUUGUCUUUGCACAGUCAACUAACGGUCAAUGUUAAAGUUAACUGACGGUAGGGGAUUUUUUACAAAUAAACAAAUUUUCACCAUCUACUUGCAACAAGCCCAAAUCUC
This 36752-nucleotide long non-coding RNA is filed under the name Citrus x clementina. Its description in RNAcentral is "Citrus clementina (C. clementina) long non-coding RNA (CCLE_LNC004499)". The record is from RNAcentral. Lineage: Eukaryota; Viridiplantae; Streptophyta; Magnoliopsida; Sapindales; Rutaceae.